Molecule: ribosomal RNA, 432 nt
Filed under: uncultured Glomus
Lineage: Eukaryota; Fungi; Glomeromycota; Glomeromycetes; Glomerales; Glomeraceae
Description: SSU rRNA
Rfam family: Eukaryotic small subunit ribosomal RNA
Source: RNAcentral
AGCAGCCGCGGUAAUUCCAGCUCCAAUAGCGUAUAUUAAAGUUGUUGCAGUUAAAAAGCUCGUAGUUGAAUUUCGGGGUUAGUAGGUUGGUCGUGCCACUGGUACGUACUGGUCUUACUGAUUCCUCCUUCCUGAUGAACCGUAAUGCCAUUAAUUUGGUGUUGCGGGGAAACUGGACUGUUACUUUGAAAAAAUUAGAGUGUUUAAAGCAGGCUAACGCCUUGAAUACAUUAGCAUGGAAUAAUGAAAUAGGACGUUCGAUCUUAUUUUGUUGGUUUCUAGGAUUGACGUAAUGAUUAAUAGGGAUAGUUGGGGGCAUUAGUAUUCAAUUGUCAGAGGUGGAAAUUCUUGGUAUUUAUUGAAGAACUAACUACUGCGAGAGCAUUUGACCAAGGAUGUUUUCAUUAAUCUAAGAACGAAAGUUAGGGGAGU